This 497-nucleotide ribosomal RNA is filed under the name uncultured bacterium. RNAcentral describes it as "partial 16S ribosomal RNA". It matches the Rfam family "Bacterial small subunit ribosomal RNA", at positions 28 to 507 of the family's 1533-position model. The record is from RNAcentral.
GAUGAACGCUGGCGGCGUGCCUAAUACAUGCAAGUCGAGCGAACAGACGAGGAUCUUGCUCCUCGGACGUUAGCGGCGGACGGGUGAGUAACACGUGGAUAACCUACCUAUAAGACUGGUAUAACUUCGGGAAACCGGAGCUAAUACCGGAUAAUAUAUUGAACCGCAUGGUUCAAUAGUGAAAGACGGUUUUGCUGUCACUUAUAGAUGGAUCCGCGCCGCAUUAGCUAGUUGGUAAGGUAACGGCUUACCAAGGCAACGAUGCGUAGCCGACCUGAGAGGGUGAUAGGCCACCCUGGAACUGAGCCACGGUCAAGAGUACUACGGGAGGGAGCAGUAGGGAAUCUUCCGCAAUAGGCGAAAGCCUGACGGAGCAACGGCGCGUGAGUGAUGAAGGUCUUCGGAUCGUAAAAAUCUGUUACUAGGGAAGAACAAAUGUGUAAGUAACUAUGCACGUCUUGACGGUACCUAAUCAGAAAGCCACGGCUAACUACGUG